ACCUUUUGGAGCCAGCCGCCUAAGGUGGGACAAAUGAUUGGGGUGAAGUCGUAACAAGGUAGCCGUAUCGGAAGGUGCGGCUGGAUCACCUCCUUU
RNAcentral lists this ribosomal RNA (96 nucleotides) under Shouchella clausii. RNAcentral's name for it is "partial 16S ribosomal RNA". It matches the Rfam family "Bacterial small subunit ribosomal RNA", at positions 1438 to 1533 of the family's 1533-position model. The record is from RNAcentral. Lineage: Bacteria; Bacillati; Bacillota; Bacilli; Caryophanales; Bacillaceae.